AAGUCGAGGGGUAACAGCCCCGCUUCGGCGGGAGCUGACGACCGGCGCACGGGUGAGUAACGCGUAUGCAACUUUCCUGUAACUGGAGGAUAGCCCCUGGAAACGGGGAUUAAUACUGCGUAAUACCUAAAUACCGCAUGGUAUUAAGGUCAAAUCUACGGAGGUUACAGAUGGGCAUGCGUGCCAUUAGCUAGAUGGUAAGGUAACGGCUUACCAUGGCAAUGAUGGCUAGGGGUUCUGCAAGGAAGGCCCCCCACACUGGUACUGAGACACGGACCAGACUCCUACGGGAGGCAGCAGUGAGGAAUAUUGGUCAAUGGAGGCAACUCUGAACCAGCCAAGCCGCGUGAAGGAAGACUGUCCUAUGGAUUGUAAACUUCUUUUGUGGCAGAAUAAACUACCGUACUUGUACGGUAUUGCAUGUAUGCCAUGAAUAAGCAUCGGCUAACUCCGUGCCAGCAGCCGCGGUAAUACGGAGGAUGCAGGCGUUAUCCGGAUUUAUUAGGUUUAAAGGGUGUUCAGGCUGCCUGGUAAGUCAGGGGUGAAAGUCGGUUGCUCAACGAUCGAAUUGCCUUUGAAACUGUCAGGCUCGAGUAUGGAUGCGGUAGGCGGAAUGUGUAGUGUAGCGGUGAAAUGCAUAGAUAUUACACAGAACACCGAUUGCGAAGGCAGCUUACCAAACCAGCACUGACGCUGAAGCACGAAAGCGUGGGGAGCGAACAGGAUUAGAUACCCUGGUAGUCCACGCCGUAAACUUUGCUCACUCGCUGUUGGCGAU
This 778-nucleotide ribosomal RNA is filed under the name uncultured organism. RNAcentral's name for it is "bacterial SSU rRNA". It matches the Rfam family "Bacterial small subunit ribosomal RNA", at positions 59 to 830 of the family's 1533-position model. The record is from RNAcentral.